UUAUAUAAUGUAUGUGUGUUUUUAUUAAAUAAUAUUGAUUAUAAUAAGAUUGAGAUGUUCAGUAUAUUUAUUUAUACAAUGGAUGAGAGUUUUAUAUAGAAAUUAUAAAUUAAGAUUGGAUAAAUUUGUGCCAGCAUCUGCGGUUAUACAAAUGAUUUAAAUUAAAAAAAUUUGGUUGAAAAUAAAGUAAUGUGAUUAUAUGGAUUGAAGGGAAUUUUAUUGAUUGGUUUUUAGGUAAAAUUUUUGUAUUGGUUUGUUGAUUGUUUGUUUUCUUUAAUAUUAAUACUUUGAAAAUUUAAAAAUAAACUAGGAUUAGAUACCCUAUUAUUUUUUUUUGUAAAAGUUAAUUUUUUACCUAAGUAUUAUGAGUGUAAUUGAAAUAUGUUUAAAUAUAAUUAAACAUAAAUUAAUUUUUAUUUAAAAUUUAAAAGGUUUGGCGGUUUUACAUAUCCAGUUAGGGGAGUUUGUUAAUUUGUUUGAUAAUCCUCAUUUUAAACUUACUUUUUUUUGAAUAUAUAUAUAUAUAUAUAUAUAUAUACAGUUUAUAUAUUGCUGUCGUCAGUUUAUCUUUUGAGAAUUAAAAGGACUAUUAAAAUUUUUUGGUUGUUAUGUCAAGUCAUAAUGUAGCUGAUGAAGAAGGUUUAAUGAACUACUGUAAAUAAUGGUUUUGAUAUCCGGAUGAUGAAAUUUAUAUUUUGUUAAGAAGGGGGACUUAAUAGUAAAUUUAUAAUUAGUAUGUAUAGUUGAAUAAGGUUUUGUAAAGUGUACAUAUCGCCCGUCACUCUUGUUUAUAGAUAAGAUAAGUCGUAACAUAGUAGAGGUAAUGGAAAUUGUUUCUGGAUUAAA
RNAcentral lists this ribosomal RNA (846 nucleotides) under Pteroctopus tetracirrhus. Its description in RNAcentral is "12S ribosomal RNA". Lineage: Eukaryota; Metazoa; Mollusca; Cephalopoda; Octopoda; Octopodidae. The record is from RNAcentral.